AGUGAACGCUGGCGGUAGGCCUAACACAUGCAAGUCGAACGGCAGCACAGGAGAGCUUGCUCUCUGGGUGGCGAGUGGCGGACGGGUGAGGAAUACAUCGGAAUCUACUCUGUCGUGGGGGAUAACGUAGGGAAACUUACGCUAAUACCGCAUACGACCUACGGGUGAAAGCAGGGGACCUUCGGGCCUUGCGCGAUUGAAUGAGCCGAUGUCGGAUUAGCUAGUUGGCGGGGUAAAGGCCCACCAAGGCGACGAUCCGUAGCUGGUCUGAGCAGAUGAUCAGCCACACUGGACCUUAGACACGGUCCAGACUCCUACGGGAGGCAGCAGUGGGGAUAUUGGACGAUGGGCGCAAGCCUGAUCCAGCCAUACCGCGUGGGUGAAGAAGGCCUUCGGGUUGUAAAGCCCUUUUGUUGGGAAAGAAAUCCAGCUGCUAAUACCCGGUUGGGAUGACGGUACCCAAAGAAUAAGCACCGGCUAACUUCGUGCCAGCCGCCGCGGUAA
Molecule: ribosomal RNA, 504 nt
Filed under: uncultured bacterium
Lineage: Bacteria
Description: partial 16S ribosomal RNA
Rfam family: Bacterial small subunit ribosomal RNA
Source: RNAcentral